This 1007-nucleotide long non-coding RNA is filed under the name Brachypodium distachyon (stiff brome). RNAcentral's name for it is "long non-coding RNA (BDIS_LNC001482)". Lineage: Eukaryota; Viridiplantae; Streptophyta; Magnoliopsida; Poales; Poaceae. The record is from RNAcentral.
CGUCCCAUUUUAAACGACUUUUUAUUACAUAUAUCUAUAUGCUUUUAACGCGUAUACACUCAUAUUUGGACAAAUUUGAGUCGUUUAAUUUCUAAAAAAAAAAUUGAGCGAGUAUGCAAUACUGCCUCGUGGAACAUUCGAGAAACGCAAGCAGCCGGUGACAGACAGGUGCAUCCAGAAUAUCCUAGUCCCAUCACCAAGCGCACGCAGAUUUCUUUUCCUUUCCCCAGAAAACGCGCACGCAGAUCCAAUUUCAUUAUGGCCCGCAUCAUUGUCGGCCUUAUUGGGCUUGGGCCGAGAGCACUCGCUCUCUGCUCGCGGCUUCCGCGCCAAUUCCAAUUUCAGAGGAAGGAAACCGGUCGGAGAAGUCUUUGACAGAAUAGACGAAAUUCAUGCUGGCGUUUAUUUCUGCUCGGCAUACAUCUCGAACCGAGUAAUCGGAUGGCCCUUACAGAAUCCCUUCUUCUACAUCACAAAAGGCAACUCAAAUCGUAUGGAUGGAUACGGCAGAAAGGAAAAUCACCGCGUGAGCCAGACGCCCAGACCUCCGAUUCCCUUGUUCACCUUGGCUUCACAUCACAGAAUCCUUUUUUCUUUUUCUUUUUUGCGCAACACAUCACAGAAUCCAAACGGCUAUAGCUGUGCUGAUGCUAAUGCUAUCGACGACCCGUUCGCUCUCGCGCGAACGAUACUUACAAGGACAGUGACAGCGCGUCGCCGUGAGAGAAGGUCUCGAGGACGGGCUGUGACGUAUCUGCCCAGUUGAACCAUUCACAUUCUGGCAGUGACAACGGUACUCACCACCAAAGAUGUUGAUUAAGGAGUGAAGAACAAACUUCAUAGCGUUUAAAUCACUUCCCGAUCGGACGUGAAAACGAGUUAUAUAAUUAUUCGUGGUGCGAAGAUCCAAGAAAACAAUGAAUUUGCUAACCAACAUACAUAAAGGAAGAAGAUAAAGAUGAAAGACGUACGCGUGACAAUUGACAACAAAAGGCUACACCGUGUAG